Vicia villosa (hairy vetch) is the source of this 346-nucleotide long non-coding RNA. RefSeq lists it as uncharacterized. The transcript has 3 exons. The record is from RefSeq and is a predicted model, not a curated record. NCBI's taxonomy places the organism in Eukaryota, Viridiplantae, Streptophyta, Magnoliopsida, Fabales, Fabaceae.
GUGGAAUUGACUUACCUACGGUGAGGAGAUUUUCACCGGUUAUUGUUGAGGUUGAUGAAGAUGAUGCGCGAACAAUUCGUAAACACGGGGCUGCAACUGGAGGCUUUUGAUGAAGGUGAUGCCACAACACCUCAUUGGACUUAUGGGAGCGCCUUAAAGAUGGAACUUCAAGUUGUUGGAAGCUUGAAGAUGAAGAUCUUCAAGAAAGGUAUGAAGAACUACCUUUUCCUUCUUCCUUACUUUGUAACUAGAAUACUCACCUCCAAUAGAGAUUCUCUUGGCUUGAGAAUUUCUUCUUGCCAAGAGGUCUAUUGAACAAUAUGAGCAAUAGAGAGAGAAGAGAGAA